CCUACGGGUGGCAGCAGUGGGGAAUAUUUGGCAAUGGGCGCAAGCCUGACCCAGCAACGCCGCGUGAAGGAAGAAGGCUUUCGGGUUGUACACUUCUUUUGUCAGGGAAGAGUAGAAGACGGUACCUGACGAAUAAGCCACGGCUAACUACGUGCCAGCAGCCGCGGUAAUACGGAGGUGGCAAGCGUUGUCCGGAUUUACUGGGUGUAAAGGGCGGGUAGCCGGGUUGACAAGUCAGAUGUGAAAUCCUGCGGCUUAACCGCAGAACUGCAUAUGAAACUGUUGAUCUUGAGUAAUGGAGAGGGAGACGGAAUUCCUAGUGUAGCGGUGAAAUGCGUAGAUAUUAGGAGGAACACCAGUGGCGAAGGCGGUCUGCUGGACAGCAACUGACGGUGAGGCGCGAAAGCGUGGGGAGCGAAAGGGAUUAGAUACCCCAGUAGUC
RNAcentral lists this ribosomal RNA (442 nucleotides) under uncultured bacterium. Its description in RNAcentral is "partial 16S ribosomal RNA". It matches the Rfam family "Bacterial small subunit ribosomal RNA", at positions 338 to 795 of the family's 1533-position model. The record is from RNAcentral.